This 670-nucleotide ribosomal RNA is filed under the name Myxococcus xanthus. Its description in RNAcentral is "bacterial SSU rRNA". It matches the Rfam family "Bacterial small subunit ribosomal RNA", at positions 36 to 688 of the family's 1533-position model. The record is from RNAcentral. Lineage: Bacteria; Pseudomonadati; Myxococcota; Myxococcia; Myxococcales; Myxococcaceae.
CUGGCGGCGUGCCUACACAUGCAAGUCGAGCGCGAAUAGGGGCAACCCUUAGUAGAGCGGCGCACGGGUGCGUAACACGUGGAUAAUCUGCCUGAGUGCUCGGGAUAACCAGUCGAAAGAUUGGCUAAUACCGGAUAAGCCCACGGUUUCUUCGGAGACUGAGGGAAAAGGUGGCCUCUGUAUACAAGCUAUCACAUUCAGAUGAGUCCGCGGCCCAUCAGCUAGUUGGCGGGGUAAUGGCCCACCAAGGCAACGACGGGUAGCUGGUCUGAGAGGACGAUCAGCCACACUGGAACUGAGACACGGUCCAGACUCCUACGGGAGGCAGCAGUGGGGAAUUUUGCGCAAUGGGCGAAAGCCUGACGCAGCAACGCCGCGUGUGUGAUGAAGGUCUUUGGAUUGUAAAGCACUUUCGACCGGGAAGAAACCCGUUGGCUAACAUCCAACGGCUUGACGGUACCGGGAGAAGAAGCACCGGCUAACUCUGUGCCAGCAGCCGCGGUAAUACAGAGGGUGCAAGCGUUGUUCGGAAUUAUUGGGCGUAAAGCGCGUGUAGGCGGCGUGACAAGUCGGGUGUGAAAGCCCUCAGCUCAACUGAGGAAGUGCGCCCGAAACUGUCGUGCUUGAGUGCCGGAGAGGGUGGCGGAAUUCCCCAAGUAGAGGUGAAAUU